AUUGAACGCUGGCGGCAGGCCUAACACAUGCAAGUCGAACGGUAACAGGAAGAAGCUUGCUUCUUUGCUGACGAGUGGCGGACGGGUGAGUAAUGUCUGGGAAACUGCCUGAUGGAGGGGGAUAACUACUGGAAACGGUAGCUAAUACCGCAUAACGUCGCAAGACCAAAGAGGGGGACCUUCGGGCCUCUUGCCAUCGGAUGUGCCCAGAUGGGAUUAGCUAGUAGGUGGGGUAACGGCUCACCUAGGCGACGAUCCCUAGCUGGUCUGAGAGGAUGACCAGCCACACUGGAACUGAGACACGGUCCAGACUCCUACGGGAGGCAGCAGUGGGGAAUAUUGCACAAUGGGCGCAAGCCUGAUGCAGCCAUGCCGCGUGUAUGAAGAAGGCCUUCGGGUCGUAAAGUACUUUCAGCGGGGAGGAAGGGAGUAAAGUUAAUACCUUUACUCAUUGACGUUACCCGCAGAAGAAGCACCGGCUAACUCCGUG
Molecule: ribosomal RNA, 490 nt
Filed under: uncultured bacterium
Lineage: Bacteria
Description: partial 16S ribosomal RNA
Rfam family: Bacterial small subunit ribosomal RNA
Source: RNAcentral